Molecule: ribosomal RNA, 301 nt
Filed under: uncultured bacterium
Lineage: Bacteria
Description: partial 16S ribosomal RNA
Rfam family: Bacterial small subunit ribosomal RNA
Source: RNAcentral
AGUCGCCACGGGAAUACGGAGGGUGCAAGCGUUAAUCGGAAUUACUGGGCGUAAAGCGCACGCAGGCGGUCUGACAAGUCAGAUGUGAAAUCCCCGGGCUUAACCUGGGAACUGCAUUUGAAACUGUCAGGCUGGAGUCUUGUAGAGGGGGGUGGAAUUCCAGGUGUAGCGGUGAAAUGCGUAGAGAUCUGGAGGAAUACCGGUGGCGAAGGCGGCCCCCUGGACAAAGACUGACGCUCAGGUGCGAAAGCGUGGGGAGCAAACAGGAUUAGAUACCCGUGUAGUCCCUGUCUCUUAUACA